CUGCAGAGGCCACACCCCCUGCAUCCUCUUGGUGGAGAUGGACAGCAAGGGGGCAAAGUGAGACACACCUUCAUGAACACGGGGAGACAAAGCGUCCAUGUGAGUAAAGGAGCUUCGGCACCAGUACACAGGACCAGAAGAGAGCGGACUGGACCUCCGAAGAGCAUAAGGGCAGGACGUCGGCCCCGAACAACCUGUUGCACCACAGUGCUCUGCUCUCGGGUCACUGUUUUUACUGUGGAUGAACUCAGAGAGCCAUGGGGACGCUCAUCUCCAGGCACCUGGACGCCAAAGACAGGAAGUAUCUGUCGGGACACACAGCCCGCGUCCUGAGGGACUUCUCCUCGCACUUGCAUCUGCAGCUGAAUGCUGCCCUGCUGGAGCGCGAGCAGAGCCACAUGGGGUUGAGAGAUGCUACAGGGAGACAGACGGUCUUGCAGCAACACGACACGUGGCGCGGCGGGGAAGUGCUGCUGGAGGGAACCGUGCUUCAGUAUGCGGACGGCUCGUGGAGAGCGCGUCACCUGCAGGUCACCAAGGACUUUACAGUGGAGAGUAGCAACUCCAGUGAGGUGUUUGAGGGGGGCCGGCCGCGCGGGACACCCAUCGUCCUCUCGGGCAGCCAGAUCUGCACCUCUGUGCGGGAACAUCGCCUCCUGCUGGACACAGCUUGUCAGCACAUCACAGGUACUGUGCCCACUGGCAGCCAAUUAGCAAAAGCGAGCGGUUAUUGCUUUCCGUGGUAACGUGUCGUGCAACUCGAGCGGUGAGUUCUGUAAAUGUCACGAAAUGUGUGAUAUUGCGAAGGAAGUGCUCCAUCUUUUCACCAAUUAGGCGAUAUG
This 842-nucleotide long non-coding RNA is filed under the name Scleropages formosus (Asian bonytongue). Its description in RNAcentral is "lncRNA (ENSSFOG00015030702.1)". Lineage: Eukaryota; Metazoa; Chordata; Actinopteri; Osteoglossiformes; Osteoglossidae. The record is from RNAcentral.